UGGGGAAUCUUCCGCAAUGGACGAAAGUCUGACGGAGCAACGCCGCGUGAGUGAAGAAGGUUUUCGGAUCGUAAAACUCUGUCUUUUGGGGCGAACGUGAGUAUGGUGAACAAUCAUAGUCAGUGACGGUACCAAAGGAGGAAGCCACGGCUAACUACGUGCCAGCAGCCGCGGUAAUACGUAGGUGGCAAGCGUUGUCCGGAAUUAUUGGGCGUAAAGAGCGCGUAGGCGGGAUAGUCAGUCUGUUGUAAAAGUGCGGGGCUCAACCCCGUGAUCGCAAUGGAAACAGCUAUUCUUGAGUGCAGGAGAGGAAAGUGGAAUUCCCAGUGUAGCGGUGAAAUGCGUAGAUAUUGGGAGGAACACCAGUGGCGAAGGCGACUUUCUGGACUGUGUCUGACGCUGAGGCGCGAAAGCCAGGGGAGCGAACGGGAUUAGAUACCCCGGUAGUCCUGGCCGUAAACGAUGGGUACUAGGUGUGGGGGAUGAUCGAGCCACCUUUCCCGUGCCGGAGUUAACGCAAUAAGUACCCCGCCUGGGGAGUACGGUCGCAAGACUGAAACUCAAAUGAAUUGACGGGGGUCAUAGCUGUUUCCUG
This 595-nucleotide ribosomal RNA is filed under the name uncultured bacterium. Its description in RNAcentral is "partial 16S ribosomal RNA". It matches the Rfam family "Bacterial small subunit ribosomal RNA", at positions 355 to 941 of the family's 1533-position model. The record is from RNAcentral.